UGCGAGGUAGAGCAGCGGUUAGCUUGCCAGGUUCAUAUCCUGGAGGUCGGGGGUUCGAUUCCCUCUCUCGCAUCCA
RNAcentral lists this transfer RNA (76 nucleotides) under Vibrio parahaemolyticus. RNAcentral's name for it is "tRNA-Met". It matches the Rfam family "tRNA". Rfam says of the family: Transfer RNA (tRNA) molecules are approximately 80 nucleotides in length. Their secondary structure includes four short double-helical elements and three loops (D, anti-codon, and T loops). Further hydrogen bonds mediate the characteristic L-shaped molecular structure. tRNAs have two regions of fundamental functional importance: the anti-codon, which is responsible for specific mRNA codon recognition, and the 3' end, to which the tRNAs corresponding amino acid is attached (by aminoacyl-tRNA synthetases). tRNAs cope with the degeneracy of the genetic code in two manners: having more than one tRNA (with a specific anti-codon) for a particular amino acid; and 'wobble' base-pairing, i.e. permitting non-standard base-pairing at the 3rd anti-codon position. Lineage: Bacteria; Pseudomonadati; Pseudomonadota; Gammaproteobacteria; Vibrionales; Vibrionaceae. The record is from RNAcentral.